GGUGGUAGCUCAGCUGAGGAACAUCUGCUUUGCAUGCAGAAGGCUCCAGGUUUAAUGCCUGGCCUCUCCA
Non-coding RNA from Podarcis lilfordi (Lilford's wall lizard), 70 nucleotides. The record is from the annotation of a GenBank genome assembly. Lineage: Eukaryota; Metazoa; Chordata; Lepidosauria; Squamata; Lacertidae.